Molecule: long non-coding RNA, 2167 nt
Organism: Nomascus leucogenys (northern white-cheeked gibbon)
Lineage: Eukaryota; Metazoa; Chordata; Mammalia; Primates; Hylobatidae
Exons: 3
Source: RefSeq, a predicted model, not a curated record
UGCUUUGUUUCAUUACCUUCUUGAGUUGUGGCUCAGACACUACAACAGAGCUCCGUCAUCUCUUUCUAAAAGCUGGGAAAUGGUUAUUGUCAACGCCAGCCCCAUUUUGGAGGCACCUGGCUGCAGGCGACCACAGCUAGCUGGGUGCGGUGGCUCAGGACUGUAAUUCCAGCUACAUGAGAGGAUUGCCUGAGGCCAGGAGUUUGAGACUAGCCUGAACAACAUAAUAGACUGGGAGCUCCAUGAGGUCUGAGACAACCUGAAGAUGCCCAGCUCAGCAGAGACUGGCUACGGCUGUCACUCAGUAACUAUUUGUUGAAUUAGACAUAAUAGAAGAGCUGACAAAUUUUAAACAAGUCACCGUCAGUCCAGUGGAUUCCUCAAAGCAAACCUGGAAAUCUCAGCAUGGGUUGGAUUUAAGGCAGUACAUUUUCAGCUCCUCAAAAUUUGAACAGUUUCUCAAGAGAACAACUUGAAACAGAAAGGCAAGGAUGUAGAUGUGGUUGUAGAAGAUGAUGUCUAAGGCCACUAAACUGUCCACUGUGAAGACAAAUCUUGCAUGUUUAGCAGGCGGUGGCUCCCCUUCCCUGUGGGGAGUCCCACUGCUUCCCUGGCCUGGGUGUUCUCUGCCGGUAGAUGUUAUUGACAAAAUAAGCAAAGUCCUCUGAUUCUGAGAAUUAUAGUUUAUGAUAGCUCUAGAUUGCCUCUGCCAUGCUAUUUAAAGUCCUGCUUUAUUGUCUGACAUGAGUUUGGCAUCUAUGAGGACUUGUCCAGUGCAAAGUACAAUCCCCACUGAAAGAUAUCACCAGCACAUCUUGUCACUGCGAGCUGGGCAGUACAAUGAGGUUGGCAGGAUCCUGUUUAGGUGGGGGAUAGCCACCUGGGCAUCAAGAAUCUUCUACCUUGAUUCCACAUUGAUUCCCCAAAGUGGGCUUCAGACAGCUCUGCACUUACGUCUUCUGAUUAAAGCAGCAGACGGGGUCCCAGCUGGAGAAAAGUUCUGGGAGCAGGAGAGGUGUUGGUGGCUUUAAAACCGGGGGUGAAGAUUGAAUUAGGAGGUUAGGCAGGAGUAGGAUCAAAGGCUUAGAAAAUGCUUGUUUCUUUCUAUUAUUCUUAUGAGAGCUGAUAAGGGGCUUUCAGUUUUGGGGGACAGCCUUGGAAGAGAAUGAGGGAAUUUAAUCAACUAGUGGGACCUUUCCAACUUACAUUUCCCAGUGUUUGCUGGAUGAUACGUUUGCCUAAUAAGUUAAAGCUUCCAAAAAUAGAAAGGAAAGCUUGGUGACACUAAGCUCUGGCAUGCUGUCAUCUUCUGGCUAGGGGUCUUGUGCUUCUGUUUUUCUAUUUCUGACCAAGGACAUAAAAUGUGUUGUGACCUCUCAGAUAAUGCUAUGGUAUCAUGUCCAAGCAGUAACUAACCAGAGUGGAGUUUUUACAGGUAAAAAAGUAUUGAAUAGCUCAGCAACAGGGAGGAUUUCAUGAUAAAUUGCUUUUUCAGAAAAUGACAAGGGGACAGACACUUGCGUUUCUUCCAUUGAGAGCCUUAAGGAAGUUAAGCGAAGCUCUGCUCACCCCUUCAAGUAACGAUGACCCAUCCGAUUGUGGUCAUAACCAGUAGCAUCUGAGCCACCCCUAACCUCUCUGGGCCCCAGAUUCCUUGUUAAGUUAAAUGAGGUGACUCCCCAGUUUACCAUUCUAGGGGUUCCUGAGGAGUUAAAAAUGAAGGAGAAAAUGCAACAUGUACCAAGUGAGCAAGGGCUCAAGGCUUAUCUCCGGCACGAAAGUGACCGCUGUCCAUUAGAGAUGUGCUUGCCCUAGAUUUCCUUUAGGAAAUGCAAACAUUGAACUCUGACCUUCAGGACCCAAGCCCCGGCUUGCAUCUAUUCUAUACACUUUCUAUUAUUUGUUAGGGCUCACAAGGAACAGUUAUUUUUUUUUUUAUUUUUAACUUUUUUUUAGAGAUGGAGUCUCACUCUGUCUCCCAGGCUGGAGUGCAGCGGUGCCAUCUCAGCUCACUGCAACCUCCACCUCCCAGGUUCAAGCAAUUCUCCUGUCUCAGCCUCCUGAGUAGCUAGGACUACAGGUGUGUGCCAUCAUGCCUGGCUAAUUUUUAGUAUUUUUAGUAGAGGCAGGGUUUCACCAUAUUGGCCAGGCUGGUCUCGAACUCCUG